This 554-nucleotide ribosomal RNA is filed under the name uncultured Alphaproteobacteria bacterium. RNAcentral's name for it is "bacterial SSU rRNA". It matches the Rfam family "Bacterial small subunit ribosomal RNA", at positions 170 to 759 of the family's 1533-position model. The record is from RNAcentral. Lineage: Bacteria; Pseudomonadati; Pseudomonadota; Alphaproteobacteria.
CGGAUAAGCCCUUACGGGGAAAGAUUUAUCGCCGAAAGAUUGGCUCGCGUUUGAUUAGCUAGUUGGUGAGGUAACGGCUCACCAAGGCGACGAUCAGUAGCUGGUCUGAGAGGAUGAUCAGCCACAUUGGGACUGAGACACGGCCCAAACUCCUACGGGAGGCAGCAGUGGGGAAUAUUGGACAAUGGGCGCAAGCCUGAUCCAGCCAUGCCGCGUGAGUGAUGAAGGCCCUAGGGUUGUAAAGCUCUUUUGUGCGGGAAGAUAUGACGGUACCGCAAGAAUAAGCCCCGGCUAACUUCGUGCCAGCAGCCGCGGUAAUACGAAGGGGGCUAGCGUUGCUCGGAAUCACUGGGCGUAAAGGGUGCGUAGGCGGGUCUUUAAGUCAGGGGUGAAAUCCUGGAGCUCAACUCCAGAACUGCCUUUGAUACUGAGGAUCUUGAGUACGGGAGAGGUGAGUGGAACUGCGAGUGUAGAGGUGAAAUUCGUAGAUAUUCGCAAGAACACCAGUGGCGAAGGCGGCUCACUGGCCCGUUACUGACGCUGAGGCACGAAAG